UGCAACGUGCACUCAGGCAGGAGCAGACUGCUUCCCAGGCUCAGGAGGGGUAACAGGCCUGCCUUUGAAUCUCCUGGUAACAGAGGAGGAGUGGGAGGUCGAGGGCAUGUGGAAAAUCUGAUGGAGCAAGCUUUAAAACGGCAGGGAGAGGAGGAAAGUGGGAUCAAGGUACAGAGCAGAUUUACAAGAGAUUGUACUGGCUCCAUUCCCGGCCCCUGUGCUUUAGCCAAAGAUGGAAUGCCCUGGGCAAGGGAUAGCCAUUGUGACAGGGCUUUGGAGCGGAGCCCGGAGCUGGAGCACGGAGCAGUAGGUUUUAUGCCCGGAGUUGGAGCGGAGCCAUAGCGGAGCAAGUCAAAAAUGUGGUCCCUCCUAGUCAGGGUUGAGGCACAUGGUAAGAGUAGGAGUUGCCCACACUGGACCUGUUCUGUGAAUAAAAAGAGAAUUGGUCUUCAGGAUGAUUAGACCUUUCAUGAUCACUAUAAUAAUAAAGCACACGCAAGACACCUAUUGGCUCAACAUCAAGAAAGUUUCUUAAAAAUGAAGUCCUCAGUUAGAUCCUGUCAUAGAAUGCAUUUGAAUUAUGGAACCUCCAAAUCCCUGGGAGAUUUAACCAGCAGUGUUUCUGCUGAAGGUGGCAUUCCUAUUUCUUAUUAGGAUUCCAUUUAAUUUGCUAUUGUCACUCAGAAAUCCACUUAUCCUGCCUUUUGUCUGUCAGAGACCAGUACACUUUGACAUGAAAAUAAAAUGCUAUUCUGU
Molecule: long non-coding RNA, 756 nt
Organism: Mauremys mutica (yellowpond turtle)
Lineage: Eukaryota; Metazoa; Chordata; Testudines; Geoemydidae
Exons: 4
Source: RefSeq, a predicted model, not a curated record